GCACCACCAUCCUUGCUGUCCAGUAGAUCGCGCCACUUGCUCGCAGUCCCGAUGCGCGUAGCUCCGAUCUAGCACGCAUCGCUCGGGUCCAUCUAGUGCUCCUCCCGGAUAGAAUCAAAACUAGAGCUUCGCUCUCCAACACAGUACUAGGAAGCAGCUGAUUCGAUUUGAAAGCUCUGCAAUCUUCUCCGCAGAGUUAUAAAUGUAAAACUUUAUAUUUUUGGUUAUUUAAUUUUGGUUGUAUAGUUACUCUUUUAUCAGAUUAUUA
Molecule: non-coding RNA, 268 nt
Organism: Jatropha curcas
Lineage: Eukaryota; Viridiplantae; Streptophyta; Magnoliopsida; Malpighiales; Euphorbiaceae
Source: RefSeq, a predicted model, not a curated record